UCCAAUUUAUCACUGGCAGUCUCGCUAGAGUCCCCAACUUAAUGAUGGUAACUAGCAAUAAGGGUUGCGCUCGUUGCGGGACUUAACCCAACAUCUCACGACACGAGCUGACGACAACCGUGCACCACCUGUACAUCUGUUAGCCUCCGAACUUAUUUCUAAGCCUUUGCAGAGUAUGUCAAGACCUGGUAAGGUUUUUCGUGUAUCUUCGAAUUAAACAACAUGAUCCACCGCUUGUGCGGGGUCCCGUCAAUUCCUUUGAGUUUCAUACUUGCGUACGUACUACUCAGGCGGAGAACUUAAUGCGUUAACUGCAGCACUGACCUUUUGGCCAACACUUAGUUCUCAUCGUUUACGGCGUGGACUAC
Molecule: unclassified non-coding RNA, 368 nt
Filed under: Acholeplasma pleciae
Lineage: Bacteria; Bacillati; Mycoplasmatota; Mollicutes; Acholeplasmatales; Acholeplasmataceae
Description: contains 16S-23S intergenic spacer region
Source: RNAcentral